CAGGUGCUGCAUGGCUGUCGUCAGCUCGUGCCGUGAGGUGUUACGGUUAAGUCCUGCAACGAGCGCAACCCUCGUCGCUAGUUAAUUUCUCUAGCGAUACUGCCCGUAAAACGUGGAGGAAGGUGGGAUGACGUCAAGUCAGCAUGGCCUUUAUGUCUUGGGCUACACACACGCUACAAUGGAUGGUACAAAGGGUUGCCAAAGAGCGAUCUGGAGCUAAUCCCAAAAACCAUCCUCAGUUCAGAUUGCAGGCUGCAAUGCCUGCAUGAAGUUGGAGUUGCUAGUAACCGCAGGUCAGCACACUGCGUUGAAUACGUUCCCGGGUCUU
RNAcentral lists this ribosomal RNA (328 nucleotides) under uncultured Chloroflexota bacterium. RNAcentral's name for it is "bacterial SSU rRNA". It matches the Rfam family "Bacterial small subunit ribosomal RNA", at positions 1035 to 1382 of the family's 1533-position model. Lineage: Bacteria; Bacillati; Chloroflexota. The record is from RNAcentral.